AACGCACAUUGCGCCCCUUGGUAUUCCAUGGGGCAUGCCUGUUCGAGCGUCAUUUGUACCCUCCAGCCUUGCUGGGUUUUGGGCGUUUUGUUCCGCUGCGCGCGUGAACUCGCCUCAAAUACAUUGGCAGCCAGCCGUUCCGUGUGGAAGCGCAGCACAUUUGCGCUUUUCUCGGGUCGCGGCGGCGUCCACAAGUCUACAUCUUUAACGCUUGACCUCGGAUCAGGUAGGGAUACCCGCUGAACUUAA
This 249-nucleotide unclassified non-coding RNA is filed under the name uncultured fungus. RNAcentral's name for it is "partial contains 5.8S ribosomal RNA, internal transcribed spacer 2, and large subunit ribosomal RNA". The record is from RNAcentral. Lineage: Eukaryota; Fungi.